UAAGUGCAUUGUGUACCCAAAUUGUGCAAAACUAAACUUCUGUAUAUCGUGUUUUCAAUUAUGAUUAUCCAAAAAUAGUGAACGGAUAAGAUUAUCUUUGAUUAUGAGGACUAACUGUGGAUAACAAGCUACUAUAACUAAUUAUUGCAAUCUUACACUAUUUACAGAUCUUGGAAGGAAAAGCUCCCAGCUCUUUCCAGCACAGAGCAUCUUGGGGUCAACAGCUGAAAAAAUCUCAUUGCUUGCACCUGAAAUUCAUUACUUUUCCCUAAUAAGAAAUUGAUAUUCCAGAGGAAAUUGGCCACUGGAAGCAUGAAGCUGUCUAAAGAAAAAGCUACAUCAGCUGAGUUCUUGGUACAGUGACAACAUGAAGACUUUUACCUCUGCCUCCUGCAGUGAUCUUAGAUUAGAAGCAAGAGGAGAAUGAAGCAUACAUGAAGGUAACUUGUGGGACA
Molecule: non-coding RNA, 455 nt
Organism: Taeniopygia guttata (zebra finch)
Lineage: Eukaryota; Metazoa; Chordata; Aves; Passeriformes; Estrildidae
Source: RefSeq, a predicted model, not a curated record